RNAcentral lists this ribosomal RNA (2051 nucleotides) under fermentation metagenome. RNAcentral describes it as "bacterial LSU rRNA". It matches the Rfam family "Bacterial large subunit ribosomal RNA", at positions 897 to 2925 of the family's 2925-position model. The record is from RNAcentral.
UGGGGGUAGAGCACUGGAUGGACGCGGGGGACUGGGGUCCUACCAAAUUCAACCAAACUUCGAAUACCAUAUUUUGUACCGUAGGAGUGAGACUACGGGUGAGAAGGUCCGUGGUCGUGAGGGAAACAGCCCAGACCGUCAGCUAAGGUCCCAAAGCGUAUGCUAAGUGUGGCAAGGAUGUGAGAGUGCCUGGACAGCCAGGAGGUUGGCUUAGAAGCAGCCACCCUUUAAAGAGUGCGUAACAGCUCACUGGUCGAGGACUUUUGCGCCGAGAAUGUAGGGGGCUAAGCAUACUGCCGAAGCUGCGGGAUAUGUGCAAGAGUGUAUAUAUCGGUAGGGGAGCGUUCCAUACGGGGCGAAGCAGAGCCGCGAGGUCAUGUGGACUGUAUGGAAGUGAGAAUGCUGGCAUGAGUAACGCGAAGUGCGUGAGAAACGUACUCACCGGAAGCCCAAGGGUUCCUGGGGAAGGUUCAUCCGCCCAGGGUUAGGCGGGACCUAAGGCGAGGCCGAGAGGCGUAGUCGAUGGAUAGCAGGUAGAUAUUCCUGUCCCAGCCAAUGAGCGUUAAUACCGAAGGGGUGACACAGAAAGCUAGGUGAUCCGGGUGAUGGAAGUCCCGGUCCAAGGGUGUAGGGAGUUUCCGCAGGCAAAUCCGCGGGAAUAAUUCUGAGACCUGAUGGGGAGGCCCUACGGGGUCGAAGUCAUUGAAGCUCGGCUGUCGAGAAAAGCCUCUAGGGAGUUUGUUGGUUGCUCGUACCCGAAACCGACACAGGUGGGCUAGCUGAGGAAGCUAAGGUGAGCGGGAAAACCCUCGUUAAGGAACUCUGCAAGUUGACCCCGUAACUUCGGGAGAAGGGGUGCCACUCUGGUGAAAUAUAAUCAUAUGGAGCUAAGGGUGGUCGCAGAAACCAGGCUCAGGCGACUGUUUACUAAAAACACAGGUCUCUGCAUAAGGCGUAAGCCGAAGUAUAGGGACUGACACCUGCCCGGUGCUGGAAGGUUAAAUGGAGAGGUUAGCGUAAGCGAAGCCUUGAUAUGAAGCCCCAGUAAACGGCGGCCGUAACUAUAACGGUCCUAAGGUAGCGAAAUUCCUUGUCGGGUAAGUUCCGACCUGCACGAAUGGUGUAACGAUCUGAGCACUGUCUCAACGAGGGACCCGGUGAAAUUGUGGUACUGGUAAAGACGCCAGUUACCUGUGGUGGGACGGAAAGACCCCGUGGAGCUUUACUGUAGCCUGAUAUUGGAUUUUGGUCUGUCAUGUACAGGAUAGGUGGGAGGCGUAGAAUGGAGGGCGUCAGCCUUUCAGGAGCCGUUGUUGGGAUACCACCCUUGACAUACCGAAGUUCUAACUGUUGAGUCUGAAUCGGCUGGCAGGACAUUGUCAGGUGGGCAGUUUGACUGGGGCGGUCGCCUCCUAAAGAGUAACGGAGGCGCGCAAAGGUCACCUCAGGGCGUAUGGAAACCGCCCAUAGAGAGCGCAAAGGUAUAAGGUGGCUUGACUGUGAGAGAGACAUCUCGAGCAGGAACGAAAGUUGGUCUUAGUGAUCCGGCGGUACCGAGUGGAAGGGCCGUCGCUCAACGGAUAAAAGCUACCCCGGGGAUAACAGGCUGAUCUUGCCCGAGAGUUCCUAUCGACGGCAAGGUUUGGCACCUCGAUGUCGGCUCGUCGCAUCCUGGGGCUGAAGCAGGUCCCAAGGGUUGGUCUGUUCGCCCAUUAAAGCGGUACGUGAGCUGGGUUUAGAACGUCGUGAGACAGUUCGGUCCCUAUCCACCAUAGGCGUAGGGUAUUUGAGGAGAUCUGCUUCUAGUACGAGAGGACCGAAGUGGACGAACCUCUGGUGUACCGGUUGUAGCGCCAGCUGCAUAAGCCGGGUAGCUAUGUUCGGGUCGGAUAACCGCUGAAGGCAUCUAAGCGGGAAGCCGCCUCCAAGAUGAGAUACCCCAUUCCGCGAGGAAGUAAGGUGUCCUGAAGAUGACAGGAUAGAUAGGCCGGGAGUGUACGAGCUGUGAGGCUUUGAGCUGACCGGUACUAAUACGCCGAGGCCUUAUUCUC